RNAcentral lists this ribosomal RNA (292 nucleotides) under uncultured bacterium. Its description in RNAcentral is "partial 16S ribosomal RNA". It matches the Rfam family "Bacterial small subunit ribosomal RNA", at positions 505 to 796 of the family's 1533-position model. The record is from RNAcentral.
GUGUCAGCAGCCGCGGUAAUACGAGAGGCCCAAACAUUAUUCGGAUUUACUGGGCUUAAAGAGUUCGUAGGCGGCGCGGAAAGUGGGGUGUGAAAGCCCUCGGCUCAACCGAGGAAUUGCGCUCCAAACUACCGUGCUUGAGGAAGCUAGAGGUGAGCGGAACUGAUGGUGGAGCGGUGAAAUGCGUUGAUAUCAUCAGGAACACCGGAGGCGAAGGCGGCUCACUGGGGCUUUUCUGACGCUGAGGAACGAAAGCCAGGGGAGCGAACGGGAUUAGAUACCCCGGUAGUCC